Molecule: ribosomal RNA, 204 nt
Filed under: uncultured Oxalobacteraceae bacterium
Lineage: Bacteria; Pseudomonadati; Pseudomonadota; Betaproteobacteria; Burkholderiales; Oxalobacteraceae
Description: partial 16S ribosomal RNA
Rfam family: Bacterial small subunit ribosomal RNA
Source: RNAcentral
UACUCCUACGGGAGGCAGCAGUGGGGAAUUAUGGACAAUGGAUGCGCGCAACGCUGAUCCAGCAAUGCCGCGUGAGUGAAGAAGGCCUUCGGGUUGUAAAGCUCUUUUGUCAGGGAAGAUACGGUGAGUUCUAAUACAGCUUGCUAAUGACGGUACCUGAAGAAUAAGCACCGGCUAACAACGUGCCAGCAGCCGCGGUAAUAC